This 1026-nucleotide long non-coding RNA is filed under the name Drosophila melanogaster (fruit fly). RNAcentral describes it as "antisense RNA:CR46485 (Dmel_CR46485)". The record is from RNAcentral. Lineage: Eukaryota; Metazoa; Arthropoda; Insecta; Diptera; Drosophilidae.
AUUUAGGUUAUCGAUACCAAAUAAAAACUAAUUUUUUUUUGUAACAAUUAAGCUUUUAUUGGAAGAUCUACAGAGUCUUAAUUUUAAACUUACGUUCCACCGUUUCGACAAAGUCUAUAAAAUCCUUGUAUAGAACCUUUGGAACCUCUAGAGCGGCAAAGUGCCCGCCCUUUUUGUGGCCAAUUUUUCCCACAAAGGCGGUAAAAUCAUUGAACAACAUGGCCGGCAUCUCCAGGGCGGCAAAGUGGCUGCCCUGCUGGAAGUACAUCGAGUGGGUCAGGUUGGGGAACUUGUCCCUCAGCUGCCAGUCAGUCACCGAGGCCAGAUCGAACCGGAAGCGGGCACAGCCCAUGGGAACCGGGGACUGCACACGAUCCAGCUGGAGAUCCCUGUACGUCUUGGACACGUUCUCCAGGUAGAAACGAGCCGCUGUCGUGGCCGAGUUCGUCAGAUAGUAGACCAUCAGGUUGUCCAGCACAGCCUCCAGGCCGAAGACAGUGACUAUGGCGCCAAAGUCCUGCUUCAGGCCGGGAUUUGUGCAGGUCUGGAAUUUCUCGAGGAUAUAGGAGGCCAAGCCGACGGGACUGGAGGUCAGAGCCGCUCCAAUCGUAUCCGGCUUGGUGGCCUGGAUGUGAAAGUAACCGCUUUCCUCCAGCAGCUCCAGCCAUUUUUCCCACACGGGGAAGUGAUGAUCCACAAAGAAUCUGGACGGCAAGUACUUCUCCGGGAAGAAGCUGCCGUAGAUUCCCUUCAGAAUGGCCAGUGGCGUGUGCAGAACGCACAUGUUCGAGUGGUAACCGAUUACGUUCUCUGGAUACAAGGUGGCCAAGUUGCUGCCAAUGAUGCUGCCCCAAUCUCCGCCUUGGAUGAAGAACUUCUUGUGGCCCAGACGCAGCAUCAGGUUACGCAUCACAGUGGCCAUUUCAGCGGCAUUAAAUCCGGGACGCGUGGCAGCCUUAAGUUAUAAUAAUAAUAAUAAUAAUUAAAAUGAAGAAAUUCAACUGAAAAACAAAUAACACUCACAUC